AAAUUAGUUUUUCUAAAUAUCUAUUCAAUUUUUUUUGCUUAAUCAAGCUCCGCACGUUGGCUUCUCCAUAACUUAUUAAUAACACUUUUUCUCAAACAAUACAUUACUUUUUCAUCUCUUUUCUUGUGUAUUUUUUUGGGUUAGUUCAUCUAUAAUAUUUGCAAACUCUAUGUUAUAUCAAGUUAUAUUUAUGAAUAAUUCUUAAUAAGAUUGGAAAUUUUAUUUUUGGCGAGGAGUAGGUGCUAAAGCCAUAAGAUUGGAAAUUUGAAAUUAGCACCA
Molecule: long non-coding RNA, 279 nt
Filed under: Nicotiana benthamiana
Lineage: Eukaryota; Viridiplantae; Streptophyta; Magnoliopsida; Solanales; Solanaceae
Description: long non-coding RNA (NBEN_LNC001576)
Source: RNAcentral